CAGUCGCCGCGGGAAUACGAAGGGUGCAAGCGUUACUCGGAAUUACUGGGCGUAAAGCGUGCGUAGGUGGUGGUUUAAGUCCGUUGUGAAAGCCCUGAGCUCAACCUGGGAAUUGCAGUGGAUACUGGGUCACUAGAGUGUGGUAGAGGAUAGUGGAAUUUCCGGUGUAGCAGUGAAAUGCGUAGAGAUCGGAAGGAACAUCUGUGGCGAAGGCGACUAUCUGGGCCAACACUGACACUGAGGCACGAAAGCGUGGGGAGCAAACAGGAUUAGAUACCCGUGUAGUCCCUGUCUCUUAUAA
This 301-nucleotide ribosomal RNA is filed under the name uncultured bacterium. RNAcentral's name for it is "partial 16S ribosomal RNA". It matches the Rfam family "Bacterial small subunit ribosomal RNA", at positions 509 to 809 of the family's 1533-position model. The record is from RNAcentral.